GGUAGGAGUGGCAACAAAUGCUGGGCUCAAAACACAGGGAUUUCUUUUUCUUUUAGACGUAUCUGGAAGAAUAGGAGAAUCGAAGAGAGACGAUAAGACGGUGAUAGUGGAGGAGGAUGAUGUCGACUCUAACUACCUGCACGUCCCCAGCUCAACAAGAAUAUAUUAAGCAACAACUAAGUGUGAAGCAUGUGGAUGGACAGAGCUUCUGAUUACAGGCCAAGCGUGUUCAAAUCUUGCAAAGGUGUAAAUGAGGACAGCCUAAGGCAGACAAUGAAGGGCUUGCCAGACCAAGAAACCUGUAUUUUGCCAACCUGUUCAGGAUUUGAUUACUUUUAAAAGCCCAAGCUACAAAUAAAAACUUCAACAAUCUCUGUGUAAUGAAAAAG
This 389-nucleotide long non-coding RNA is filed under the name Phascolarctos cinereus (koala). RNAcentral's name for it is "lncRNA (ENSPCIG00000032179.1)". Lineage: Eukaryota; Metazoa; Chordata; Mammalia; Diprotodontia; Phascolarctidae. The record is from RNAcentral.